UUUGAUCAAUGCAUUUUGAUGCACUUUCUUAUACUAUUAUACUUAGGCAUUUCCUUAGUUUAUUUUACUUAUUUUACUUAUUUUACUAUUUUAUUAUGUUUUUAUAUUUAAGUUUAUUUUUUGCUUUAUUUUAUUUUCGUACUUUAUUUUCGGCAUAAACAAUUAUUUGAUACCUUGUUAAUAUGCAGAUCAUAACUUGGGCUAUAGGAAUUGGAUUGACGUGUUCUAAUAUGAGUU
This 237-nucleotide long non-coding RNA is filed under the name Lathyrus oleraceus (garden pea). RNAcentral's name for it is "Pisum sativum (pea) long non-coding RNA (PSAT_LNC003281)". The record is from RNAcentral. Lineage: Eukaryota; Viridiplantae; Streptophyta; Magnoliopsida; Fabales; Fabaceae.